Long non-coding RNA from Gallus gallus (chicken), 3222 nucleotides. RefSeq lists it as uncharacterized. The transcript is spliced from 9 exons. NCBI's taxonomy places the organism in Eukaryota, Metazoa, Chordata, Aves, Galliformes, Phasianidae. The record is from RefSeq and is a predicted model, not a curated record.
UCCAUCCUCUUCCUCUUCCUGAUGUCAUUGACCAGAGUUCCUCAAGUGCUCCUCUGCACUCUAGCAAGGCACGGAGUUUGACUUGUCUGCUGUCUCUGAUUGCAGCUCUGCAACCCUUCUCCUGCCUAUGAGAUGCUUCCUCCAGCACCACCUGUGCAUGGGCAGGCAGCCCACCAGCCUCAGCUUCAGAGCAAGGAGAAGACGGUUAAGAACAACAGCAGGGGCUAGAAUGGCUGUGAGAAGUUUCUUACAGCAUCAGCAAGGAGCUGAGAAUCACCUUUUAAAGUCUGCCUGCAGAGAAAGGACAGAAGAUUCAGUUAGACGUGAUUUCCAGAGCUAUCAAAUGGGAUACACACAUUCUGAGUGACGUGGAAGAAAAUAUUCCACAGCUAGAGGAGCUGGUCUGAGGCUGUGAAGAUGUGUGUAUGAUGAUGGAUCACCUGAAAGAUCACAGUCCAAGAAGGUCAGAAAGUCAUGUUACAGCUGUGUUAGGGAACAGCACUUUGCACGUGGUUACAACGUAGACCAGAGAAUGAGGGAUCCGAACAGUUCAUCUCCACUCCAGCCAGCUGGUCGGGACAUGUCAGCCUCUCUGAAACUCAGCUCACGGCCUCAUAAUGUGGUGAUAGGAAUCCUACCUACCUGCAGCACCGGGUCCCCAGCUCUACCCUGAAGGAAAACAUCUUCCAAGCUGAACUGAGAGCCGAAGGAUUUCCCUCGCCUUUUCCUUCAUGUUCCUGAAUCCCCAGAGGUUUGUCAUCAAACAUCCUCAUUCGUGACCCCCAAGGAAAAGGUCUUCUCAACAAGUCCUGUUUUAAUAACUCUUAUUGUCCCAACCUGCUUUCUGAAAAAGCAGAAGUGUAUUUAUGACCACACCUGUUCUGUAUCACCUGUCUGACUUUUCUUCAGUAGCCACCAAUGCUGUGACGUGAGUAUAUGUAGAAAACCCUUAGUUAUCAUUUCCUUUCUGAAACUGUGUCCUCUUCCUACCUUUUCUUCUUGAAGCUGAGCUCACAGUGCUCACUGAGGACAUGACUUCUGAUUUCUCUGGUGCAUAACGCGUCGGUAUUCUCUGUAUCCCGGCCUUUUGGCUCUGGGGCAAAUGUUUAAACACCACAGAUGCUUUGAGCAGAUGUGUCCCAGAGUUUGAUCACGCUGUGCUGAUUGAAAUGACCCGUGUGUUCUCAGGCUUCCUUCCCCUCGCCAAAUGUUAAUGUUUUUGUCCUCUGGGGCAAAUUAUUCCAAUCAGUACCGGAACUGAUGCAAUAUCAAUACAGGUACCAGCACCAGGUGUGAUACCAGAACCACUCAGGGCUGGAAAAGCCAGGCUGGCAAACUCACUUCUGUGCUGAUAAAACAUAGGGACAACUUCUUCCCAUUACUGAUAACAGAGAAUUGCCCGAACACAGAGAAAAUGAAAGAAAGUGCAGUGUGACUUCACCUGCUUGAAGGACACCUGUGUUGGCUGCAUUUGGAAGCUGGUAAUGCCCACAGAAGUAUUGAGGAAGAGCAGACUGAGUCCUGAUAGCAGCCCUGUGGGCAGAUCUGUGGAUCGUGUUUCAAACAGGUUUUUUUUUGGCUCUGAUGAGCACAUGGGAUUGAAACUUAUAAGAAGAGGAGAGUGGAUCUGGAAAAACAUGGACGGAGGGGAAACUUCUUCUCUCCACAGAAGUCCUUCAAGGUGUGACUGCUGCCUUUGAUUCCAGAGGAAGGUUUGUAAGGAACAGCUGUUGUUUAGAGGAGAUGAGGAGUUUUAAAAUGUGUGUAUUUGUUUUCAGCUAAACCUUCCUGCCUUCUUCCUCUUCCCAUUGCGGCCAUGCACAGCCCUCCUCCAUGCUUGUCUCCCUGGGUAGGAGCAUCAAAGUCUCAGAGACUGUCAAAGAAAAUGUAACGAAAACCUAUCAUUUGCCCACAGCUUUUAAGUCCGGUUUCAACUCUUCUGCUAAAACAUAAAAAUGCACAGCAGAGCUUUGCAAUACUUUCAAAGAAGACAGAAGUACUGUUUUUUCCUAUUUUCAGGGCUUUUUAGCUGAUUCCAUCAGGUGCCACAUUCCUACCUCUAAAGUGUUGUCAGUCAAAUCCAAAUUGAUUCUGCUGAGAUCCCCCUCCCAUGUUGUCAUUUUUUAGGUAGAAGGGCUGCUUCUCAGUCUCUUCUUUCCUGGAGACUCAACAGUUUCAGAAAUCAGUUGUUUGAAGAGGUCCCAAACAAACACCUGUGCCUAGGAACCUGAACUGGUCCUGUAAGCUUCCCAUGGUGAGACCUAGACUCUCCAAGGACAACUUGGUCUACCAAAGGUAUCUGUAGACGUCUGAAUUAUGAAAGGAUUGAGAGGAAACUCCAAACCUGUAUGACGUUGUUCUUGCAUUUGCUGACCAUCACAAGUAGCCAAUUCAGUCCUACUAUGGCUUGGAUCCUGUAUCUUGUAACCCUGGGCUCUGAACCUGCUGGUGAGCAGCUGCAAGUGGGAAAGAUGGUGCAAAACAAGGAGCACGACUGUUGGGCUAAGAAGAAAGCUUGGACACUUUCAGAAUUGUAAAGGAAAAUGGAAAGAACCUCAGAAACAUCACAUUCACUUUUAGUGAAUGUGUCACAUGGAAGAAUAAAUGAAGAUUAAAGAUAUUUAACUCCCUUAGUUACCCAGGGCACAAUUUCACCCUAAUGUACUGUGAUUCCGAUUUGCUAUGAAACCUUAGGCCACAAUAGAAAAGAAAAUGUUUUAUUACGGUCUUUUUUUGUAUUUUUAAUUUUUUUUUUCAGAUUUUCUUGCUCUAGCUGUGAACACCUGGAAACCCAGGCAGCAUCAGCAAAGCUCAGUGCUGUUCUUGUGCUCAUCAGCCCAUGAGAGAAGCUGACUGAAGACUGUGGUGACUGGACCACAACUGCCCCAGCAUAUUUAACUUCAAGAGAGAGUCAGCUGUUUUGUCAGCAUUCUUGCAGCAGCCUGAAUUGUACUUAAGUGGGCAAAUUAAGGGAAUAAGGGGCUCAUUUAGUGAUGCUGUAUGGAGAAUUCUGUCUCCUGCAGACCUGGCCAAUGUGAUCAGAAGAACUCACAGGUGAUAUUGGACCAAAAGUAUGUUCAGGCAAGUGGUUCUCUGUUGAUUUUGACUUGGGUCAUUGCUGCUCCCUUUUCCUUGUCAUGUCCUCCGCCUCCCUUGCUGUUUGGAUCUUUCUUCCCCUGUCUUUUGAGUUUCUGACUCCUUGCCUCAGAUCUAGGAUGUGCU